This 336-nucleotide long non-coding RNA is filed under the name Mytilus galloprovincialis (Mediterranean mussel). The record is from RNAcentral. Lineage: Eukaryota; Metazoa; Mollusca; Bivalvia; Mytilida; Mytilidae.
GCUUUUCCUAUGCCACAUCAACGACCUCCCGGAAAGCGUAAAAUCUCAAGUUCGUUUAUUUGCAGAUGACUGCCUACUCUAUCGAGAGAUUAAAAACACAAAAGACCACCAAACUCUCCAAGAAGAUCUAAAAGCUCUGGAAGUAUGGGCACUAAAUUGGGGAAUGAAAUUCAACGCAAAAAAAUGCUAUAUAAUGAGCUUCAAACAAAAAUCAACACACUUCUACCAACUAGACAACCACAUACUAGAACAGGUACAAACUAAUCCUUACCUAGGUCUUAACAUAUCUGAUGACCUAAAAUGGACCAGCCACAUAGGGAAAACAACAAGCAAGGC